Molecule: ribosomal RNA, 206 nt
Filed under: uncultured bacterium
Lineage: Bacteria
Description: partial 16S ribosomal RNA
Rfam family: Bacterial small subunit ribosomal RNA
Source: RNAcentral
GACGAAGGGGGCUAGCGUUGCUCGGAAUUACUGGGCGUAAAGCGUGCGCAGGCGGUUUUGUAAGUCAGAUGUGAAAUCCCCGGGCUCAACCUGGGAACUGCGUUUUGAAACUACAAGGCUAGAGUGUAGCAGAGGGGGGUAGAAUUCCACGUGUAGCAGUGAAUGCGUAGAGAUGUGGAGGAAUACCAAUGGCGAAGGCAGCCCCC